GACCUCGGAUCAGGCGUGAUUACCCGCUGAACUUAAGCAUAUCACUAAGCGGAGGAAAAGAAACUAACCA
This 70-nucleotide ribosomal RNA is filed under the name Phyllodistomum angulatum. RNAcentral describes it as "partial 28S ribosomal RNA". It matches the Rfam family "Eukaryotic large subunit ribosomal RNA", at positions 1 to 71 of the family's 3401-position model. Lineage: Eukaryota; Metazoa; Platyhelminthes; Trematoda; Plagiorchiida; Gorgoderidae. The record is from RNAcentral.